AUUGAACGCUGGCGGCAUGCCUUACACAUGCAAGUCGAACGGUAACAGGUCUUCGGAUGCUGACGAGUGGCGGACGGGUGCGUAAUACAUCGGAACGUGCCCAGACGUGGGGGAUAACGAGGCGAAAGCUUUGCUAAUACCGCAUACGAUCUAAGGAUGAAAGCAGGGGACCGCAAGGCCUUGUGCGUUUGGAGCGGCCGAUGGCAGAUUAGGUAGUUGGUGGGAUAAAAGCUUACCAAGCCGACGAUCUGUAGCUGGUCUGAGAGGACGACCAGCCACACUGGGACUGAGACACGGCCCAGACUCCUACGGGAGGCAGCAGUGGGGAAUUUUGGACAAUGGGCGAAAGCCUGAUCCAGCAAUGCCGCGUGCAGGAUGAAGGCCUUCGGGUUGUAAACUGCUUUUGUACGGAACGAAAAGGCUCUGGCUAAUACCUGGGGCACAUGACGGUACCGUAAGAAUAAGCACCGGCUAACUACGUG
Molecule: ribosomal RNA, 482 nt
Filed under: uncultured bacterium
Lineage: Bacteria
Description: partial 16S ribosomal RNA
Rfam family: Bacterial small subunit ribosomal RNA
Source: RNAcentral